GAGUUUGAUCAUGGCUCAGGACGAACGCCGGCGGUGUGCCUAAUACAUGCAAGUCGUACGCACUGGCCCAACUGAUUGAUGGUGCUUGCACCUGAUCGACGAUGGAUCACCAGUGAGUGGCGGACGGGUGAGUAACACGUAGGUAACCUGCCCUGUACAGGGGGAUAACAAUCAGAAAUGACUGCUAAUACCGCAUAAGACCACAGCACCGCAUGGUGCAGGGGUAAAAACUCCGGUGGUACAGGAUGGACCCGCGUCUGAUUAGCUGGUUGGUGAGGUAACGGCUCACCAAGGCGACGAUCAGUAGCCGGCUUGAGAGAGUGAACGGCCACAUUGGGACUGAGACACGGCCCAAACUCCUACGGGAGGCAGCAGUGGGGAAUAUUGCACAAUGGGGAAACCCUGAUGCAGCAACGCCGCGUGAGUGAAGAAGUAUUUCGGUAUGUAAAGCUCUAUCAGCAGGGAAGAAAGUGACGGUACCUGACUAAGAAGCCCCGGCUAACUAC
RNAcentral lists this ribosomal RNA (506 nucleotides) under uncultured microorganism. RNAcentral describes it as "bacterial SSU rRNA". It matches the Rfam family "Bacterial small subunit ribosomal RNA", at positions 9 to 504 of the family's 1533-position model. The record is from RNAcentral.